This 78-nucleotide ribosomal RNA is filed under the name Geminocystis sp. GBBB08. RNAcentral describes it as "partial 16S ribosomal RNA". It matches the Rfam family "Bacterial small subunit ribosomal RNA", at positions 1 to 77 of the family's 1533-position model. Lineage: Bacteria; Bacillati; Cyanobacteriota; Cyanophyceae; Chroococcales; Geminocystaceae. The record is from RNAcentral.
UACAAUGGAGAGUUUGAUCCUGGCUCAGGAUGAACGCUGGCGGUAUGCUUAACACAUGAAAGUCGAACGGGGUAGUAA